Non-coding RNA from Sapajus apella (tufted capuchin), 1130 nucleotides. The record is from the annotation of a RefSeq genome assembly. NCBI's taxonomy places the organism in Eukaryota, Metazoa, Chordata, Mammalia, Primates, Cebidae.
GCCUUUUUCUUAUUGGUUGGGUACACAAUGUGAGCAACUGCUAUGGUUGUUAGAGGAGAUAAGGGACAACCUGGUGAUAGAAGUGACUCUUGUAACUGGAGGUUGCAGGUGUAUGACUAAUCUCAAUUGGGAAGAACAAUGAUGACAUCCAUUUGCGCUGUAUUUAUAUUCUUGUGGCUGCACCUGGAUUUGGUGAAUGGAGAGAAUGUGGAGCAGCGUCCUUCUACUCUGAGUGUCCAGGUGGGAGACAGCUCUGUUAUCAACUGUACUUAUUCAGACAGUGCCUCAAACUACUUCCCUUGGUAUAAGCAAGAACUUGGAAAAGGACCUCGGCUCAUUAUAGACAUUCGUUCAAAUGCGGACAAAAGGAAAGACGGAAGAAUGACUGUUUUAUUGAAUAAGGCAGCCAAACAUUUCUCCCUGCACAUCACAGACACCCAACCUGGAGACUCAGCUCUCUACUUCUGCGCAGCUGGUGCACAUUGCUUCCCAGGCACCUGCUACCCGUACUGAAACCUGAGACUGGAGCUGAAGCUGCAAUCCCUUUCCUUUGUCAUAAACCUUCAAGUAUAGCAUUUGUCAUACUGUUUGUUUGCAAGUGAAACUAACAUAUUGACAUUAAAAGCAUAUAAAAAAAGGUUAGUUAGGUUCAAGGUAACCUGGAAAGGCUUAGAACAUUUCGUUGACUGUUGCUUAACGAAUUCUUUUUUCUAACAUUUAUAUUAUUGUAUAUGUUUAAGGUAUGCAACAUGAUGUUUUGACAUACAUAUACAUAGUAAAAAAUGAACAGCCAGAUGAAGAGAUGCAUAUGGCAAGGUGUAGGGGAGGGAAUCCCGAGCUUCCAUGUCUUCUGUGGCUGUGCCUCCUCCCAGGCACCUCUAUGUGCUCAUUCAGUGAUCAGGAGGCUCUGCUCAGUAGAUUCUUAAAAGGAAUUAUUUUAAAAUCUAGGCUUUAAAGAUGAGUUUACAUUUUCCUAUAAAUUUGGACUCCUCUGCUAUAAAUAACCCCUUAAUAUCAAUAUCAUAAUCCCUGUUAUGAAUGUGCUUUUCACUCUUGUCAUUUGAAAAUUGUAUUUUUUUUCUGAUUGUAAAACAUUAUAUGCCAAAUACAGAAAAUAUGUAAAAGGCCGG